ACGAACGCAGGCGGCGUGCCUAACACAUGCAAGUCAACUUGACUGAAGGAGCAAUCUGACAGUAGAGUGGCGCAAGGGUGCGUAACGCGUAAGUAACUUGCCCCAAGGUAAGGAAUAACGUCGAGAAAUCGGCGCUAAUACCUCAUAAUGCAGCGGAUCCGCAUGGAUAUGUUGUUAAAGGUUCACCGCCUUGGGAUAGGCUUGCGUCUGAUUAGCUAGUUGGUGUGGUAACGGCACACCAAGGCUACGAUCAGUAACUGGUCUGAGAGGAUGAUCAGUCACACUGGAACUGAGACACGGUCCAGACUCCUACGGGAGGCAGCAGUGAGGAAUAUUGGGCAAUGCUCGAAAGAGUGACCCAGCAACGCCGCGUGGAGGAUGAAGGUAUUCUAUAUCGUAAACUCCUGUGAGAGCAGACGAAAGACAGAUUAUUAAUCUGGAUGACUGUAUGCUCAGAGGAAGCCCCGGCUAACUACGUG
Molecule: ribosomal RNA, 479 nt
Filed under: uncultured bacterium
Lineage: Bacteria
Description: bacterial SSU rRNA
Rfam family: Bacterial small subunit ribosomal RNA
Source: RNAcentral